CGAGCCCUUCGUUCAGCUGGGGAAGGGUCCGGCAGCUUCCUCCAGAACAGCGAGACGAUUGUUACCAAUAGCCGCCUCACACAGUAAUAGCCGACAGCCAAGCCCCGUUGUGAGCACUCUUAUGUACAACUUUUAAGUCUUCGCUACGGUCCAGAGCUGGGGAUUCUUCUCCCCGUUUCGGAGUGGCUGAUGUUGGAGGAGGAGGCACAGGGAGGGGAGUAACUUGCCCAGAGCUACACAGCUGUCCGAGGUGGGGCCGUGGAUGGAGACGGGCUGUUCUGGAUCCAGCUUCUACUGCCUCUCAUGGUGGGCUCGUGGAUAGGGCCCAGGCCCAGCCCAAGACUGAAAGAGGAGAGUGGAGAUUUCCUAGUGCCUUGUUGACACACACUGGGUGCUCAGUAAAUCAUCGCUGAAGGAAGGGCUGGAGUGUCCUGCGAGCUUCUAAUAAGUAUUUAGCAACGGCAGCUGGAGGUGGACCGAUCUGUGACCCCUGCUCACCUGCGUUCCUGUGGCCCGUGAGAGGUGAGGCCGACUGUGAUGCUGAGUCUCGCUUCAUUUGUGGGAGAUGAGAGUCCCAGAGCCCCAGGAUGCUAGCGUGGGA
Herpailurus yagouaroundi (jaguarundi) is the source of this 601-nucleotide long non-coding RNA. RefSeq lists it as uncharacterized. Lineage: Eukaryota; Metazoa; Chordata; Mammalia; Carnivora; Felidae. The record is from RefSeq and is a predicted model, not a curated record. The transcript has 3 exons.